GCUCGUUUAGCUAUCUGGUGAAAGCAGCGAACUCAUAAUUCGCCUCAGGUGGGUUCGAUCCCCUCAACGAGCA
RNAcentral lists this transfer RNA (73 nucleotides) under Synechococcus phage S-CRM01. It matches the Rfam family "tRNA". From Rfam's summary of the family: Transfer RNA (tRNA) molecules are approximately 80 nucleotides in length. Their secondary structure includes four short double-helical elements and three loops (D, anti-codon, and T loops). Lineage: Duplodnaviria; Heunggongvirae; Uroviricota; Caudoviricetes; Pantevenvirales; Kyanoviridae. The record is from Rfam by way of RNAcentral.